RNAcentral lists this long non-coding RNA (876 nucleotides) under Olea europaea (common olive). RNAcentral's name for it is "long non-coding RNA (OEUR_LNC009258)". The record is from RNAcentral. Lineage: Eukaryota; Viridiplantae; Streptophyta; Magnoliopsida; Lamiales; Oleaceae.
GAUUCCAAAUAGAGCUGCUAGCCAUUACUUUCUCGUCAGACUUGCAAUUUCCCUAAACAAGUAAACUAAACUAAUUUUUGCUUCUGUCAUUUAUUCAACAAUACAAGAAGUUCAAUGUAUAGAAGUUCAUUCAUUUCUCUUUGUGCCGUAUGAUCAUUACUACAAUCAAAAUAAAUAAAUUUAUUCAAAUGGAAAUUGGAAUUCUGGCAAUGAAUAUAAGCUAUCAAUUUUGUCACUUCAAACACUUUACUUGAGAAUGUUCUCCCUUGACUGGAACAUAAAUUAUGGUUCUGAAUACAUUAUGUAAAAUGCUUCUUGCUUAUUAUUUGCUCAUUCAUUUUGUUCCGUUUUAUUUUGAAAUUUUGCUCAUUUUUUGUCACUACACCUGAGACAUGUACACUUGGUAAUCCUUCUACCUCCUAUUUGCUCCACAGGAAAUUGUUUCCAAACAACAUUUAGAACAUGGAACACAAUGAGGAUAUUUUUGGUGAACAUUAGGAGAAACAUGAUGAUGAUGUAGUAUGCUUCUUAUACUGUAGAGUUCUUUUUUUGAAAAAAAAUAAAUGAAAUUUUCUUGAUAUUUCAGGAAGAAGAUGCCUAAGUUAACAUGGAUAGUAGUCUUCCAAGCCUUUCUUUGUGGUCUAUUUUGGUAUGUUUUAAAUUUUAUUAAUCUCUCAAAUGACUUAUUACAUUUUUUUUUUUAAAAGAUAAAGCAUAAAAAUUCCAUGUUUGACUUAUGGAGAAGUGUACCAAAUAAGGACUCUCUUAAAUGUAGUUGAGAUUUAUUGACCUCAAUAUUUGCCUUCUUUUCAAUUGCUUUAUGUGACACAUGUACUAUAUAUGUUUGUCCAACAUUGAUAAAAGCUUUCAUUAGCA